Molecule: ribosomal RNA, 391 nt
Filed under: uncultured Methanosaeta sp.
Lineage: Archaea; Methanobacteriati; Methanobacteriota; Methanomicrobia; Methanotrichales; Methanotrichaceae
Description: bacterial SSU rRNA
Rfam family: Archaeal small subunit ribosomal RNA
Source: RNAcentral
UGAAGGUCAGGCUGAAGACCUUACCCGAUUAGCUGAGAGGUGGUGCAUGGCCGUCGUCAGUUCGUACUGUGAAGCAUCCUGUUAAGUCAGGCAACGAGCGAGGCCCACGUCCACAGUUGCCAGCAUACCCUCCGGGGUGAUGGGUACACUGUGGAGACCGCCGCUGCUAAAGCGGAGGAAGGAGUGGGCAACGGUAGGUCAGUAUGCCCCGAAUCUCCCGGGCUACACGCGGGCUACAAUGGUUGGUACAAUGGGCAUCUACCCCGAAAGGGGAAGGAAAUCUCUUAAAGCCAAUCGUAGUUCGGAUUGAGGGCUGCAACUCGCCCUCAUGAAGCUGGAAUCCGUAGUAAUCGCGUUUCAACAGAACGCGGUGAAUACGUCCCUACUCCUU